This 253-nucleotide ribosomal RNA is filed under the name uncultured bacterium. Its description in RNAcentral is "partial 16S ribosomal RNA". It matches the Rfam family "Bacterial small subunit ribosomal RNA", at positions 524 to 776 of the family's 1533-position model. The record is from RNAcentral.
GACGGAGGGUGCAAACGUUGUUCGGAAUCACUGGGCAUAAAGCGCACGUAGGCCGUUCGCUAAGUUCGACGUGAAAGCCCCCGGCUCAACCGGGGAACUGCGUCGAAGACUGGCGAACUCGAGGACGGUUGGGGUGAGUGGAACUCCUGGUGGAGCGGUGAAAUGCGUAGAUAUCAGGAGGAACACCGGUGGCGAAAGCGGCUCACUGGACCGUUACUGACGCUGAGGUGCGAAAGCUAGGGGAGCGAACGGG